CUCGUAGGCGGUUCGUCGCGUCCGGUGUGAAAGUCCAUCGCUUAACGGUGGAUCCGCGCCGGGUACGGGCGGGCUUGAGUGCGGUAGGGGAGACUGGAAUUCCCGGUGUAACGGUGGAAUGUGUAGAUAUCGGGAAGAACACCAAUGGCGAAGGCAGGUCUCUGGGCCGUCACUGACGCUGAGGCUCGAAAGCGUGGGGAGCAAACA
This 207-nucleotide ribosomal RNA is filed under the name uncultured bacterium. RNAcentral describes it as "partial 16S ribosomal RNA". It matches the Rfam family "Bacterial small subunit ribosomal RNA", at positions 568 to 774 of the family's 1533-position model. The record is from RNAcentral.